UAGGGAAUCUUCGGCAAUGGGGGCAACCCUGACCGAGCAACGCCGCGUGAGUGAAGAAGGUUAUCGGAUCGUAAAGCUCUGUUGUAAGAGAAGAACGUGUGUGAGAGUGGAAAGUUCACACAGUGACGGUAACUUACCAGAAAGGGACGGCUGACUACGUGCCAGCAGCCGCGGUAAUACGUAGGUCCCGAGCGUUGUCCGGAUUUAUUGGGCGUAAAGCGAGCGCAGGCGGUUUAAUAAGUCUGAAGUUAAAGGCAGUGGCUUAACCAUUGUUCGCUUUGGCAACUGUUAAACUUGAGUGCAGAAGGGGAGAGUGGAAUUCCAUGUGUAGCGGUGAAAUGCGUAGAUAUAUGGAGGAACACCGGUGGAGAAGGCGGCUCUCUGGUCUGUAACUGACGCUGAGGCUCGAAAGCGUGGGGAGCAAACAGG
RNAcentral lists this ribosomal RNA (429 nucleotides) under bacterium. RNAcentral's name for it is "partial 16S ribosomal RNA". It matches the Rfam family "Bacterial small subunit ribosomal RNA", at positions 355 to 776 of the family's 1533-position model. The record is from RNAcentral.